Molecule: long non-coding RNA, 656 nt
Organism: Scylla paramamosain (green mud crab)
Lineage: Eukaryota; Metazoa; Arthropoda; Malacostraca; Decapoda; Portunidae
Exons: 5
Source: RefSeq, a predicted model, not a curated record
GACCCAUCUAUAUUCCCUGACCUCUGCACUUCACACCGCAAGAAUUUGAUUGCACAUGUUGAAAAACCAUCAAAAGCUGCAAGACAUCAAAAGGAGAUGCAUCAAGGCAAAGGAAGAGCUGUCGGAGAAUUUGCACGUUAGAUUGAAGUGGAUAAUGUAUAUAGAGAGGCGCCUGUACGAGGCGGACACGCGCGUCUCCAUGCAUCAAGAGAGUGUUCGGCGCCUGGCUGGACUCCUGCAGGUGGUGGAGCAGAUUCACCGCGCCCCGAGGGUCUAUGCCGCAGCCGUCACGGAGGUGGCUCGCCGGCACGCCUUCUCCAGGGCCUUCCUGCAGUGGGCGUCUGAGCUGAGCAGCCAGAGUGGAGAGGUGUGGAGGCGCGAGGUGGAGGCAAGAAGAGGCUUUUCCCAAGACUUCUCCACCCACUUCCUAGCCUCUCUCUUUCCUGGUAUGGAAGAUCUGCCCCCUAAUUUUGCAACCUCUCUACCAUCCCAGUUUGACAUGGCUCUCCCUAAGGUUACCAAGGAAAAUAUAGAUGAAUUGAGAAGACUGCUGCCAGAACUUUAUCACUGUCUGGUCAUUGGUGAGGUUCUGGCAGUUCCCCCUCUGCUUCGCCAUGUCACAGCUGGCCUCAACACACAGGAGGAGAGGAGGAGGA